AGCCCGGUCGUCUAGUUGGCCAAGGAUGGAGGCCUUUGGAGCCUUCGACGGAGGUUCGAAUCCUCCCCGGGCUG
This 74-nucleotide transfer RNA is filed under the name Nitrososphaerota archaeon. RNAcentral's name for it is "tRNA-Gln". It matches the Rfam family "tRNA". From Rfam's summary of the family: Transfer RNA (tRNA) molecules are approximately 80 nucleotides in length. Their secondary structure includes four short double-helical elements and three loops (D, anti-codon, and T loops). Lineage: Archaea; Thermoproteati; Nitrososphaerota. The record is from RNAcentral.